GCCGGUGUAGCUCAGGGGUAGAGCGUUUCCUUGGUAAGGAAGAGGUCACGAGUUCAAUUCUCGUCAUUGGCUCAA
This 75-nucleotide transfer RNA is filed under the name Cellulophaga fucicola. Its description in RNAcentral is "tRNA_Thr_GGT". It matches the Rfam family "tRNA". Rfam says of the family: Transfer RNA (tRNA) molecules are approximately 80 nucleotides in length. Their secondary structure includes four short double-helical elements and three loops (D, anti-codon, and T loops). RNAcentral also lists the same sequence under 13 other names. Lineage: Bacteria; Pseudomonadati; Bacteroidota; Flavobacteriia; Flavobacteriales; Flavobacteriaceae. The record is from RNAcentral.